Molecule: transfer RNA, 72 nt
Filed under: Phrynosoma platyrhinos (Desert horned lizard)
Lineage: Eukaryota; Metazoa; Chordata; Lepidosauria; Squamata; Phrynosomatidae
Description: tRNA-OTHER
Source: RNAcentral
GCCAGUAUGGCAUAGUGGUUUGAGUGUUGAACUACGACUGUGGAGACCAGGGUUCAAAUCCCCAUUGUGACC